GCCAAGGAUAAUUAGAAAAUUAUGAAAUUUUUAGCAUGCUAAAACCAAUUCCUUGUGACGAUCAAAAGCUAUUACUUCAGACAUAUUUAAGGCUCAAGAAAGAGAGGAAAAAAAAACCUAUGCUCUUUUAACUAUAAAAGGUUUCUUUGCUUGCCUAGUAACUCAAUAUCAAACUCACAUUUGCCAACAGAAAUUCAAAAAUUAAAUAACUCAGUACCAAACAUAAGCAACCAGUUUCAUGAGUUAAUAAUUAACAAGAACUCAACUCUUAAGUUUCAAUAGAGGUAGGCACACCAAAACAGAGAUGCUAAAUUUUCAGCUUGGUUAACUAUAUAUAAGCACAUU
RNAcentral lists this unclassified non-coding RNA (345 nucleotides) under Hevea brasiliensis (rubber tree). Lineage: Eukaryota; Viridiplantae; Streptophyta; Magnoliopsida; Malpighiales; Euphorbiaceae. The record is from RNAcentral.